CUGCAGAUAUGGCGACAUGGUCCCCAAGACUAUCGUGGGGAAGAUUUUCGGCUCCAUCUGCUCCCUGAGCGGGGUGCUGGUCAUCGCCCUGCCUGUCCCGGUCAUUGUGUCCAAC
Regulatory RNA element from Scleropages formosus (Asian bonytongue), 115 nucleotides. It matches the Rfam family "Potassium channel RNA editing signal". Rfam says of the family: This family represents a group of sequences related to the human potassium channel Kv1.1 hairpin element which directs the efficient modification of an adenosine to inosine by an adenosine deaminase acting on RNA (ADAR). The ADAR modification causes an isoleucine/valine recoding event which lies in the ion-conducting pore of the potassium channel. NCBI's taxonomy places the organism in Eukaryota, Metazoa, Chordata, Actinopteri, Osteoglossiformes, Osteoglossidae. The record is from Rfam.